Molecule: ribosomal RNA, 253 nt
Filed under: uncultured bacterium
Lineage: Bacteria
Description: partial 16S ribosomal RNA
Rfam family: Bacterial small subunit ribosomal RNA
Source: RNAcentral
UACGUAGGGUGCGAGCGUUGUCCGGAAUUAUUGGGCGUAAAGGGCUCGUAGGCGGUUUGUCGCGUCGGGAGUGAAAACCCAGGGCUUAACCCUGAGCUUGCAGUGGGUACGGGCAGACUAGAGUGCGGUAGGGGAGACUGGAAUUCCUGGUGUAGCGGUGAAAUGCGCAGAUAUCAGGAGGAACACCGGUGGCGAAGGCGGGUCUCUGGGCAGUAACUGACGCUGAGGAGCGAAAGCGUGGGGAGCGAACAGG